UCAUGAUCUGAAGUGGUGGUUAUGGGUUCGGGGUUCUGGAUCUUGAUGAGAAAUUUGAGUCUUUGGCUCCGGCGAUUAUGGUUCUAUGGUUUUCUGGGCUCUACAGAAGGAGGCUCUUGUAUCAGCCGCCCCCUCCUCCCUAUUCUGGAUUUGGGUUGUAUUGCAAAUCUCUAAAUGUUUCAGUUUUAGGUUGGCUUAUGGGGUUGUGCUGGGUUGGUUUACUUUUUCUUUCCAUUAAUUGAUUUGUUAUGCAUUAAUGUUCAUUUUUCGGUCAAUUAUUGGUGUUGCUUAUGAUAGCUAUGGCUUGUCUUUGCUUGGCUGACUCAUGGCGUUUCUCCUAGUUGAUUUUUUUUUGCUUGUUUUGUCUUUUUUUUUCUGGAAUCAUUUGGGAGUUCUGAUUUGUUUUAGUCAUUGAGGAAUUCCGUUCUGGGCUCCUUGUCAAUUCGGUAUCUCUCUUGGCUGGUGUUUGUGUCUGAUUUGAAAUCCCAUGUGCUUAUGGUUUUUCGGUGGGCUGCUGUUUCGCCGGAGGAAUUUGGGAGACAAAUCAGAGGAAAAUUGCUGCUAUUCACGUGACUGUAUUGUUGCCAGCUGGUUAAUGGGUCCCAUUUCAUUUGGGUUUUUCAAUUUUGACCAGCUGAUUUCAUUUGGGCACAUUUCAGCUUUUUGCCUACCUUCUUCACGUGGGAUGGGAUUGAUGAUGUCUGCUAUGUCCUUGACAGGUUAACAAAUGGAUCCAUUGAGGACUAACCGUGAGGGUCUUGGGCCCACGGUUUGGGCUGAUAUUGUUAUACUUAUGGUCUGUUUGGCUUUUAAACUAAAUUUCUUAGUUGUUUCUUUUGCCUAACCUCGGGUUGUGAGGAAAAUGUAAUUUAGGUUAGGUAUUUUGUUCCCUAGGUUGCUAGGUGUUUUAGUCCCCUCGGGAGAAGGGGAUUAUGCUCU
RNAcentral lists this long non-coding RNA (939 nucleotides) under Panax ginseng (ginseng). RNAcentral's name for it is "long non-coding RNA (PGIN_LNC005911)". The record is from RNAcentral. Lineage: Eukaryota; Viridiplantae; Streptophyta; Magnoliopsida; Apiales; Araliaceae.